Molecule: transfer RNA, 69 nt
Filed under: Ictidomys tridecemlineatus (thirteen-lined ground squirrel)
Lineage: Eukaryota; Metazoa; Chordata; Mammalia; Rodentia; Sciuridae
Description: Spermophilus tridecemlineatus (thirteen-lined ground squirrel) tRNA
Rfam family: tRNA
About the family: Transfer RNA (tRNA) molecules are approximately 80 nucleotides in length. Their secondary structure includes four short double-helical elements and three loops (D, anti-codon, and T loops). Further hydrogen bonds mediate the characteristic L-shaped molecular structure. tRNAs have two regions of fundamental functional importance: the anti-codon, which is responsible for specific mRNA codon recognition, and the 3' end, to which the tRNAs corresponding amino acid is attached (by aminoacyl-tRNA synthetases). tRNAs cope with the degeneracy of the genetic code in two manners: having more than one tRNA (with a specific anti-codon) for a particular amino acid; and 'wobble' base-pairing, i.e. permitting non-standard base-pairing at the 3rd anti-codon position.
Source: Rfam by way of RNAcentral
GGGGCUGUAGCUCAGUGGUAGAGCGCUUGCCUAGCAUGUGUGAGGUACUGGGUUGGAUCCUCAGCACCA